RNAcentral lists this ribosomal RNA (1450 nucleotides) under Salmonella enterica. RNAcentral describes it as "partial 23S ribosomal RNA". It matches the Rfam family "Bacterial large subunit ribosomal RNA", at positions 711 to 2141 of the family's 2925-position model. Lineage: Bacteria; Pseudomonadati; Pseudomonadota; Gammaproteobacteria; Enterobacterales; Enterobacteriaceae. RNAcentral also lists the same sequence under 1 other name. The record is from RNAcentral.
AGACCCGAAACCCGGUGAUCUAGCCAUGGGCAGGUUGAAGGUUGGGUAACACUAACUGGAGGACCGAACCGACUAAUGUUGAAAAAUUAGCGGAUGACCUGUGGCUGGGGGUGAAAGGCCAAUCAAACCGGGAGAUAGCUGGUUCUCCCCGAAAGCUAUUUAGGUAGCGCCUCGUGAAUUCAUCUCCGGGGGUAGAGCACUGUUUCGGCUAGGGGGCCAUCCCGGCUUACCAACCCGAUGCAAACUGCGAAUACCGGAGAAUGUUAUCACGGGAGACACACGGCGGGUGCUAACGUCCGUCGUGAAGAGGGAAACAACCCAGACCGCCAGCUAAGGUCCCAAAGUCAUGGUUAAGUGGGAAACGAUGUGGGAAGGCCCAGACAGCCAGGAUGUUGGCUUAGAAGCAGCCAUCAUUUAAAGAAAGCGUAAUAGCUCACUGGUCGAGUCGGCCUGCGCGGAAGAUGUAACGGGGCUAAACCAUGCACCGAAGCUGCGGCAGCGACACUCAGGUGUUGUUGGGUAGGGGAGCGUUCUGUAAGCCUGUGAAGGUGGCCUGUGAGGGAUGCUGGAGGUAUCAGAAGUGCGAAUGCUGACAUAAGUAACGAUAAAGCGGGUGAAAAGCCCGCUCGCCGGAAGACCAAGGGUUCCUGUCCAACGUUAAUCGGGGCAGGGUGAGUCGACCCCUAAGGCGAGGCCGAAAGGCGUAGUCGAUGGGAAACGGGUUAAUAUUCCCGUACUUGGUGUUACUGCGAAGGGGGGACGGAGAAGGCUAUGUUGGCCGGGCGACGGUUGUCCCGGUUUAAGCGUGUAGGUGUGUGUUCCAGGUAAAUCCGGUUCACUUUAACACUGAGGCGUGACGACGAGGCACUACGGUGCUGAAGCAACAAAUGCCCUGCUUCCAGGAAAAGCCUCUAAGCAUCAGGUAACAUCAAAUCGUACCCCAAACCGACACAGGUGGUCAGGUAGAGAAUACCAAGGCGCUUGAGAGAACUCGGGUGAAGGAACUAGGCAAAAUGGUGCCGUAACUUCGGGAGAAGGCACGCUGACACGUAGGUGAAGUGAUUUACUCAUGGAGCUGAAGUCAGUCGAAGAUACCAGCUGGCUGCAACUGUUUAUUAAAAACACAGCACUGUGCAAACACGAAAGUGGACGUAUACGGUGUGACGCCUGCCCGGUGCCGGAAGGUUAAUUGAUGGGGUCAGCGCAAGCGAAGCUCCUGAUCGAAGCCCCGGUAAACGGCGGCCGUAACUAUAACGGUCCUAAGGUAGCGAAAUUCCUUGUCGGGUAAGUUCCGACCUGCACGAAUGGCGUAAUGAUGGCCAGGCUGUCUCCACCCGAGACUCAGUGAAAUUGAACUCGCUGUGAAGAUGCAGUGUACCCGCGGCAAGACGGAAAGACCCCGUGAACCUUUACUAUAGCUUGACACUGAACAUUGAGCCUUGAUGUGUAG